UUUUUGCUGACGACCGGCGCACGGGUGCGUAACGCGUAUGCAAUCUACCUUAUACUGGAGGAUAGCCCAGAGAAAUUUGGAUUAACACUUCAUAGUAUGUUUACCUCGCAUGGGGAAAACAUUAAAGGUUACGGUAUAAGAUGAGCAUGCGUCCUAUUAGCUAGAUGGUGUGGUAACGGCACACCAUGGCAACGAUAGGUAGGGGCCCUGAGAGGGGGAUCCCCCACACUGGUACUGAGACACGGACCAGACUCCUACGGGAGGCAGCAGUGAGGAAUAUUGGACAAUGGAGGCAACUCUGAUCCAGCCAUGCCGCGUGCAGGAAGACUGCCCUAUGGGUUGUAAACUGCUUUUAUACGGGAAGAAACGACUCUACGUGUAGAGUUUUGACGGUACCGUAAGAAUAAGGAUCGGCUAACUCCGUGCCAGCAGCCGCGGUAAUACGGAGGAUCCAAGCGUUAUCCGGAAUCAUUGGGUUUAAAGGGUCCGUAGGUGGAUAAUUAAGUCAGAGGUGAAAGUCUGCGGCUCAACCGUAGAAUUGCCUUUGAAACUGGUUAUCUUGAAUUAUUAUGAAGUAGUUAGAAUAUGUAGUGUAGCGGUGAAAUGCAUAGAUAUUACAUAGAAUACCAAUUGCGAAGGCAGAUUACUAAUAAUAUAUUGACACUGAUGGACGAAAGCGUGGGGAGCGAACGGGAUUAGAUACCCCGGUAGUCCACGCCGUAAACGAUGGAUACUAGCUGUUCGGCCUUCGGGCUGAGUGGCUAAGCGAAAGUGAUAAGUAUCCCACCUGGGGAGUACGUUCGC
RNAcentral lists this ribosomal RNA (804 nucleotides) under Gaetbulibacter sp. RNAcentral's name for it is "bacterial SSU rRNA". It matches the Rfam family "Bacterial small subunit ribosomal RNA", at positions 82 to 889 of the family's 1533-position model. Lineage: Bacteria; Pseudomonadati; Bacteroidota; Flavobacteriia; Flavobacteriales; Flavobacteriaceae. The record is from RNAcentral.